GUUUGGUAUAGUCUGGUAGGCCAAGAGCAGGAGCAGAAGCAAUAGCACGUUUGAGAGAACAGAAGUUGUCAAGGGCUUCUGUGGACAAGCAAAAUGGGUCUGACUUGAGAGCACCAUAAAGAGGUUGCAUAAGGAGCGAGGCUUCUGGGAUCCAUGCUCGGCAAUAGGAAAUGAGGCCUAGGAAGGCGUGUAGUGACUUCGAGGUCCUUGGAGGUGGAAUGUCCAGUACUGCUCUAACUCGGUCACGGGUAAGAUGUCUGGUUUCCUGAGACAGACAAUGGCCAAGGAAGAUAACAGUAGGUUGGCAGAAUUGCAGCUUGAGACGUGAAGCUUUAAAUCCUUGUUCUGCUAGGUAGCAAAGAAGAUUAAGUGAGCAUUGUUCUGUUGUGGGUAGAUCAUCU
Molecule: long non-coding RNA, 401 nt
Filed under: Pelobates cultripes (western spadefoot toad)
Lineage: Eukaryota; Metazoa; Chordata; Amphibia; Anura; Pelobatidae
Source: RNAcentral